This 5356-nucleotide long non-coding RNA is filed under the name Homo sapiens (human). Its description in RNAcentral is "HSALNT0117176". The record is from RNAcentral. Lineage: Eukaryota; Metazoa; Chordata; Mammalia; Primates; Hominidae.
CAUCAAUCUCAUUUGUCUCAAGUAUUCAAGUACUACUUUGGAUAUUUACUUGUUUGUUUUGGUACUUCCUUCAGGACAAAUUAUUUUCUUCCAAGAAUGUCUCUUCAGGGAUUCUAACUGGGGCUAUUAACAAUCACUAAUGUCUAUAUACAGAAUAAUUCAUCUGCAAUAAAAACUUUUUAAAUCAAUUUCUGGGUCAGAGUUGGGAAGUCAAUGAGUUGGAUUUUAUACUUACUUCCCUCACCAAAAAUGAUACAACAGUAAGGGGUUCCUAACUAAAACUCUAUUAGUACUUUAGAAUUUAUACUAAAUCUACUCUUGAAUAUUUCCCUAGGUCAAACAUCUCUCAAUACAAGAAUGCUAUUUUGUUAUACUAUUAAUAAUGUUGAAGUGCAUAAGAUUUUAUAAUAUACUAAUAUUUUACAUGUAUGUUUUCAAACUCCUGACCUCAGGUGAUCUGCCUGCCUCAGCCUCCCGAAGUGCUGAGAUUACAGGCGUGAGCCACCGUGCCUGGCCAUAUUUUACAUGUGUUUUCUAUCGGGCAAUUGGUGGGAUCAUUUCUUUUAUCAUUCAUAGUAGCGUUUAGGCCAUUUUUUUCCUUUUUUCUUAUCACCACCAUUUGGGACAGGGAGUAUGGUUGCUGUGCUGUUUUUGCUGUUGUUGAUUUUCUCUCUCUCUCUCUCUCUCCCUCUGUCUCUGUCUCUAUGUGUGUGUGUGUGUGUGUGUGUGUGUAUGUAUAUAUAUAUAUUUUUUUACUAUUGUGCAGAUACAGUUGAGGUGCAUAAAGAGAAGGAGUAUGAUGUGCAAGGCACACACCUGUACUCAGCUGAGUGCCACAAUACACAGAAGCCCGAAAUAGCUGUCGGAAGCCGGUGGCGGCUGCACUGCUGCUCCUAAUAUACACUUCCUUGCACCUGUGUCCUGAGCCCUUUGCCGAGUGACUUGGCUGUGCCCCUGGUGAGAAGAGUGCAGCAGACAGGAUCACAUGCCUCCAACGUGGGAAGGGGAACACGUCGACCCUAGGCAAGCAGAGGGCCUUAGCAUGCUGACUCUGCAGGCUCAUCCUGGGGCCUGCCUGAGCAGCCGUGUGGGCACCGGGACUGCAGUCCUUUCCCCUGCCUGCCCCAGCCCCACCAUCUCUUGCCUGGAGGUCAUUUGGCCACCCUCUUAGUGUCAAAGGCAGAAGCUAUGAGAAAGAAGGAUAGGAGAGGGAUGCGGACCAGUUUUCAAAUCCGGCAGGAGGAGCAAGGUCCUGGGGAGCAUGUGGUGGAAGGACUUUAAGGAAACUACAUCAUCAUUACGAAGACUGGGGAGCAACAGCGUCAUGGGCACCGCUCUGCUCUGCAUGAAGGAGUCCGACAGCUGCCAGCGGGGAGCUUUGGUGGUGCCAAAUCCCCUGGAGAGAGGAGGCUGCAGCCCCAGGCAGCAGGGAGCCCUGGAGGAAGCUGCCUCUGCAGACUCGCGGGAAUGCCAGCUCCGGGUUUCAUUCCUUUGUUCACUGCUGCUUCCCAAGUGCCAGACGGAGCCUGGAACUCAGUGGCUGCUCUAAAGAUACUGUUGAAUGAGUAAAUGAACGGAAUUGCACAGGAGCGAGGCCACAGUUCUACAGCUGAGCUGCCUGUCACGGCCCUCACCCAACCACCACUGCUGGAAAUGUGCAGACAGGGUGUGCCUCUCCCGUUUAAGGGAAAUGUAUUGAGAUAUCAUUCACAUACAUGGCACGUGCUCAGGGAGCCCCCCAGGAUGACAGAGCUCACCCAUCACCCCACAGAACGUCUCUGCCCCAUCCAGGCAGGCCCCAGAGUACACUGGGUCUGGCUUCUUUAGUCAGAGGUGGUUUGAGUGAGUCUAGAGACUUCAUAGAAUCUGGGUCACAGAGCAGGCACCCUUUUCCAUCUGGUGUCUUCCACUCAGCGUAGCGGUCCCGAGAUCCAGCGUGUCUCUGCUAGGAUCAGCGGUUUGCUCCUUGGUGUUGCUGAGGAAAAUUCUACUGCAUGGAACACCACCAUCUAUCCACACUGGAUAGACACCAGAUGAGUGCUUCCGCCUGCUGUGAAUGAAGCUCCUAUGAACAGUCUCAUAUUAGGUAUGAAAGGAAAAUAAAUCAAUCACUAAACAAAGGGGAAAGUCAAGCUGGGAGCUGCCUCCCAUCCUAUUCCUAAAUAAGAUAGCUACAAAGAUAAAAACGCUGUUCCUCCCUCACAAUUUGCUCACAAGGAACUUCCUUGUGGAACAAGGACAGACAGAACUCAAUCAUCCCUCCGCUCACAUGAGACAAACACAGAUCGGAAUGCUUCCUCCGCCCUGUUGUUUCACCCAGCCAGACUAAGGCAUACGUAACUAUUCCAGUAAAUUGUGCAUUCGGUGAAAGGCUAAUCAGAAACUUAAAAGAAUGCAGCCAUUUGUCUCUUAUCUACCUACAACCUGGAAGCCCCCUGCGCGCUUUGACUUGUCCUGUCUUUCCAGAUAGAACCAAUGUACAUCAUACAUAUAAUGAUUGAUGUCUCAUGUCUCCCUAAAAUGUAUAAAACCAAGCUGUUCCCCGACCACCAUCACCAGGACCUCCUGAGGCUGUGUCACGGCACGUCCUCAACCUUGGCAAAAUAACUUUCUAAAUUUAUUGAGACUUGUCUCAGAUACUUUUUGGUUUACAAAGGUGUUUGUGGACAUGUAUAUUCAUUUCUCAUAGAUAAGUACCUAGAAGUUGAAUUGCUUAGACAUGAGUAAAUGUAUGUUUAACUUUUUCAGAAACUCCCGAACAUAUUUCCAAACUAUACCGUUUUACACUCUGUCAGCAGAAUUUAAAAGUUUCCACUGAACCACAUCCUUGUCAACGUUUGGUAUUGUCAAUAUGUUUAAGUUAUUGAUAUUGUUCUAGUGAAUGUGUAGAGACAUCUCGUUUUGGUUUUAAUUUGCAUUUUCCUAAUGAGGAAUAAUACUGAGAAAUUUUUUCUUUCAUAUUGUCAUAUAUGUGUCUUCUUUCUUAAAGUGCCUAGUCAAAUAUUUUGCUCAUUUUUUAUUGCUUUUUAUUAUAAACUGUGUUUUUUUAAAUAUUAUCUUAACACACGUCUUUUGGCUGAUAUAAUAUUGUAAAUAUUUUCUCCCAUUCUGUGGUCUACUUAUUGUUUCCUAAUGCUGUCUUUUGAAGAGCAAAAUAUUUUUCUCCAUUUAUGGAGACAAGAUGGUCAACUUAGCUAUUCCAAAAUGUUUUUAAAAUUCUAGUUUGUUUUAAAACAACCACAGCAAACUGCAUGGAUUUGUUCCACAUCUUUGAAAGAAAAACAUUAUUUUAUUUAUUUCACAGUGGAAGAUAAGUCAGUAAGGCCCCACUUCGGCAGGUUUUGUUUUCGUUUCCUCAUGCCUCUGCAAUGCUCGGAGUCACCCACGCCUUACUCACUGCGGCUGGAACGAACCCAGACUCCUCACUCCUCCCACAGCCUCUGGCGCAGGGCGCUCCUUGCUUGAAAGAAACGUUUGCGAUUUUUAGUGGAAACGUCCGUGUUUUCUUGGUAACUGGUAAAUGGCUGUAGAUUACUGACACGCGGUCCUUUGUACGUAACAGAAGGCUUUGAGUGUUUCUGUGAGGAUCACCCUGUGAAGAAACGGCUGCAGUGAGAGCAGCCGAGGCGGGACGCAGCCCCGGACGUGGGGUCAGAGAGGAGCCGUGCGUGGGGUCAGAGAGGAGCCGUGCGUGGGGUCAGAGAGGAGCCGUGCGUGGGGUCAGAGAGGAGCCGUGCGUGGGGUCAGAGAGGAGCUGAGUUCAGGACGGGCAUGGCAGCCGCAGGAGGAGGGCAAGGCGGAGCCCAGGAGGGGCAAAGUGGACAAAGCCAGGGCUGGAGAGGGGAGACCCAGGAUCAGCACCACGUUCCACGGGGAUGGCACAGAAGCCUGAGAGGCCACGGCCAAAUGUGGAAAUUGGCUUUGCCAAAUCUUGCAUUUCAGAGAGAAAAGGCAAUAUGGCAUUAAUGCUUGCCUUGUUUAAUUUUCGUAAUUUUCCCUUUCUUCCUGCCAAUAGCUUGCUUUGUUAUCCGGAGGGUAGCCACGGUUUUAGCUCACAGUGAUGUCAACUUGAAGCUUCUCUCCACAAGCAGCUGUGACCUCAGCUGCCGUGCAGUCAGCUUCCCCGGCCUCCCUCCCCAGCCUCCCUGGUCUCCCAGGCACAAGGCUGGGCACUGGCUUCAGAGUGGCUGCAAGGGCACGGCCCCCAGGCCUAGGGCUGAUCAGCGUGAACAGUACCCAGCACACUUGCUUCAAAAAGUAAGAAGAUAUAGAACACAAGCUGCUUGUUCUCAUGACUAUAGCACAAACUAUAAAACAAAACAUCUUCCUCCAGAACACGGCAAGCUGGAUGGACAGUGAUCUGGACAAAAAUUUGCUGUAGGUUUUGUAACUGGGGUUCAGUGAGGACCAGGCUCCCCAGAGCAUACAUGUGGAGACAAUUAAGUUGAUCCCAUUUUCCAAGACUCAGAGGAGAUGUAUUUAUAUUAGGAAUAUAAACUUGCUAUUAAUGCAACUUCAGAAUGUCCAGGUCAUCCGUUGGGAAAAAAAAAAGAGUAAGUCUAGGGCUGGUUCGUGCUGUUGCUACAUGGAGGGAAUCCACAUCCAAGCCUGCCGCUCACAUGCUGGGACACAUUGCCUCAGCCUCCAUCUCUGGGAGUCCCACGCUUUCUCUCCUGGGUUGUCCCACUAUUCCUUUUGAAGUCCUCAUGUUAGUGACAGUUCAAUUUUCUCUUCACCUUCAAAAUUGCAGAGAACCUAAUUUCUACUGACCAGUCAAGCUUGUUUCAUUUAUCUUCCAUGUUAACUUCAAUUAAAAUGUUAACCAUCUGGAAUCUUUGGCCUCUUAUGUGACAAAAAUAGGCAUUAAAUUGUAUCAUUUCUUAAAUUCUCUGUUGAAAAGUCCAAAUACGUUACUGAAUAUGAUACAGAUUAGUAAGAAUUUGGGCUCAUUAAAUGUAAGAUAAUUUCAUAGCUUAAGGUAAUUUCACACCCCAAGGGACUUAUAACCUAAACACAAAGCAGAUCACCAACAUUAACUGUCAGCUGUCCACUGGAGAACUAUCUCAGACAAAAAAAUAAAAUUUGGAUUAGCUCUCCAUGGUGCACAAUACUUUCAUGAACCAUCUCUUUUGGGUUGGCAGCUGCAGUGUGUUCUGAGAGUAUGUUAAUGCUACAAUAACAGUAAAAAUAAAAUUAAGUUGGGAACAUACAGAAAAAAAGAAAUUGAUUACAUUAUUCCUAAUGACGACCUGAAUCAAAGUUGGCACUAAAUAAAUUUUUGUCAGAAAGGAGAAAAGAAAUGAGAGAAAUAAAAGAGAGGAGGCAGGAUUUUAUAUUCUGCUCCCUUUUUGGAAAA